CAGCAGCCACGGUAAUACGUAGGGUGCGAGCGUUAAUCGGAAUUACUGGGCGUAAAGCGUGCGCAGGCGGUUCGUUAAGACAGAUGUGAAAUCCCCGGGCUUAACCUGGGAACUGCAUUUGUGACUGGCGAGCUAGAGUAUGGCAGAGGGGGGUAGAAUUCCACGUGUAGCAGUGAAAUGCGUAGAGAUGUGGAGGAAUACCGAUGGCGAAGGCAGCCCCCUGGGCCAAUACUGACGCUCAUGCACGAAAGCGUGGGGAGCAAACAGGAUUAGAUACCCCAGUAGUCCCUGUCUCUUAUAU
RNAcentral lists this ribosomal RNA (301 nucleotides) under uncultured bacterium. RNAcentral's name for it is "partial 16S ribosomal RNA". It matches the Rfam family "Bacterial small subunit ribosomal RNA", at positions 509 to 809 of the family's 1533-position model. The record is from RNAcentral.